CCAACGGUUCUUUUAAGAACCACCACAAUUUCCUGAGAGCAAUCG
This is a non-coding RNA of Orchesella cincta, 45 nucleotides long. NCBI's taxonomy places the organism in Eukaryota, Metazoa, Arthropoda, Collembola, Entomobryomorpha, Orchesellidae. The record is from Rfam.